CCACUGAGAUGUUCCCAACCACAAUCAGAAGACAAGUUAUCCCAGGUAAAAGGAGCAGGGAAGAAGCGGCGACGAUCUUUAAAAUUUCAGAUAAUGUCCGAUAUGGCACUCGUGCAACAAAUUGCAGAGACAUGUUGCUGCUGCACGAAGAAGCGGGGCAUGGAAACAAACUGUCGCCUUUCUAAAAAACGAAGCUGAAAAAAUCACAUGGGUACUUUCACAACUUCAGGCAAGAGAUGUACAAAGAGCAAGAGAUAAAGGAGAGGCGCUCAAAAAGCUUCGUUUCAUAUUAACAGAUCCCCCGAUCGGUGUAAAAAUAUAUUCAAAAAAGUCAUUAGUUCUCCCACCAAAUCGAUUUUGUAUCUCAGUUAGUGGCUAUCCACCAAGUUUGACGGGUUCUCGAGUCAAUCCAAAAUGCAUCGUUAGCUCCAGCUGGACAUGGCAUCGUUGGCUAAUGAUGAUUGAAUCGAUGGCCCGGCAACAACGGGCGCUGCAUGCAACAUGUUGCCGAGAAACGCCAUUUACAUAUUUUCCAAAUGGCAAUCGGAAGUUCGUAUUUUCGCAUUUUCCACGCUUAGCCAAAUGGAAAAUGCAAUAAAUCAAAUGCACCAACGGCGGCAACAACAACGCUUCAGUGAAUUUCUUGCUUCGAGUUGGCAGCGCAAAAUAAGAGUUGCCACGUUUAUAUAUCUUGGCAACAAUAUGGCCAAAAGCCGAGGCCACAAUGGCGAUAACGAAGCUAGAAAUACCCUUGAUUGCAGGAUAUUUCCACGAAGCCCUUGGCGAUAUAAGAAUUUCUCAUAAGUAAACUUGUUACAUUCUAAUUGGCACAUUGGUUUAA
Long non-coding RNA from Drosophila mauritiana, 841 nucleotides. RefSeq lists it as uncharacterized. The record is from RefSeq and is a predicted model, not a curated record. The transcript is spliced from 3 exons. NCBI's taxonomy places the organism in Eukaryota, Metazoa, Arthropoda, Insecta, Diptera, Drosophilidae.